This 254-nucleotide ribosomal RNA is filed under the name uncultured bacterium. RNAcentral's name for it is "partial 16S ribosomal RNA". It matches the Rfam family "Bacterial small subunit ribosomal RNA", at positions 526 to 779 of the family's 1533-position model. The record is from RNAcentral.
CGUAGGGUGCGAGCGUUGUCCGGAAUUAUUGGGCGUAAAGAGCUUGUAGGCGGUUUGUCGCGUCUGCCGUGAAAAUCCGGGGCUCAACUCCGGACUUGCGGUGGGUACGGGCAGACUAGAGUGUGGUAGGGGAGACUGGAAUUCCUGGUGUAGCGGUGAAAUGCGCAGAUAUCAGGAGGAACACCGAUGGCGAAGGCAGGUCUCUGGGCCACUACUGACGCUGAGAAGCGAAAGCGUGGGGAGCGAACAGGAUU